UACGUAGGUGACAAGCGUUAUCCGGAAUUACUGGGCGUAAAGCGCACGCAGGCGGCUGCGUAAGUCUGACGUGAAAUCUCCCGGCUUAACCGGGAGCGGUCGUUGGAAACUAUGCGACUUGAGGCGAUGAGAGGGGUGUGGAAUUCCCGGUGUAGUGGUGGAAUGCGUAGAUAUCGGGAGGAACACCAGUGGCGAAGGCGACUUCCUGGCCUGUUCUUGACGCUGAGGCGCGAAAGCUAGGGUAGCAAACGGG
Molecule: ribosomal RNA, 253 nt
Filed under: uncultured bacterium
Lineage: Bacteria
Description: partial 16S ribosomal RNA
Rfam family: Bacterial small subunit ribosomal RNA
Source: RNAcentral